UACAGAGGUCUCAAGCGUUGUUCGGAUUCAUUGGGCGUAAAGGGUGCGUAGGCGGCGCGGUAAGUCGGGUGUGAAAUCUCGGAGCUUAACUCCGAAACUGCAUUCGAUACUGCCGUGCUUGAGGACUGGAGAGGAGAUCGGAAUUCACGGUGUAGCAGUGAAAUGCGUAGAUAUCGUGAGGAAGGCCAGUGGCGAAGGCGGCCUGCUGGGCAGUAGCUGACACUGAGGCGCGACAGCGUGGGGAGCAAACAGG
This 253-nucleotide ribosomal RNA is filed under the name uncultured bacterium. RNAcentral describes it as "partial 16S ribosomal RNA". It matches the Rfam family "Bacterial small subunit ribosomal RNA", at positions 524 to 776 of the family's 1533-position model. The record is from RNAcentral.